Molecule: ribosomal RNA, 446 nt
Filed under: uncultured bacterium
Lineage: Bacteria
Description: SSU rRNA
Rfam family: Bacterial small subunit ribosomal RNA
Source: RNAcentral
AGAGCGAACGCUGGCGGCAGGCCUAACACAUGCAAGUCGAGCGGAUGUAGCAAUACAUCAGCGGCAGACGGGAGAGUAACACGUGGGAACGUGCCCUUUGGUUCGGAAUAACGCAGGGAAACUUGCGCUAAUACCGAAUAAGCCCUUACGGGGAAAGAUUUAUCGCCAUUGGAGCGGCCCGCGUCUGAUUAGCUAGUUGGUGAGGUAACGGCUCACCAAGGCGACGAUCAGUAGCUGGUCUGAGAGGAUGAUCAGCCUCACUGGGACUGAGACACGGCCCAGACUCCUACGGGAGGCAGCAGUGGGGAAUAUUGGACAAUGGGCGCAAGCCUGAUCCAGCCAUGCCGCGUGGAUGAUGAAGGCCUUAGGGUUGUAAAAUCCUUUCGACGGGGAAGAUAAUGACGGUACCGUAGAAGAAGCCCGGCUAACUUCGCGCCAGCAGCCGC